RNAcentral lists this ribosomal RNA (483 nucleotides) under uncultured bacterium. Its description in RNAcentral is "partial 16S ribosomal RNA". It matches the Rfam family "Bacterial small subunit ribosomal RNA", at positions 28 to 507 of the family's 1533-position model. The record is from RNAcentral.
GACGAACGCUGGCGGCGUGCUUAACACAUGCAAGUCGAACGCUGAAGCUCAGCUUUUGUUGGGUGGAUGAGUGGCGAACGGGUGAGUAACACGUGAGUAACCUGCCCCCUUCUUUGGGAUAACGCCCGGAAACGGGUGCUAAUACUGGAUAUUCACUGGUCUUCGCAUGGGGGUUGGUGGAAAGGGUUUUUCUGGUGGGGGAUGGGCUCGCGGCCGAUCUGCUUGUUGGUGGGGUGAUGGACUACCAAGGCUUUGACGGGUAGCCGGCCUGAGAGGGUGACCGGGCACAUGAGGAGUGAGAUUCGGCCUAGACUACGACGGGGAGCAGAACGGGGGAAAGUUGCGCAAUGUGCUGAAGCCUGAUGCAGCGACGGCGCGAGAGGGAUGGAGGCCUGGGUGUUGGGAACCGCGUUCGCACAUGGUCAAGCCGGUACAGUGGUGGUGGUGAGGGUAGUGGGUAAAGAAGCGCCGGCUAACUACGUG